Molecule: ribosomal RNA, 254 nt
Filed under: uncultured bacterium
Lineage: Bacteria
Description: partial 16S ribosomal RNA
Rfam family: Bacterial small subunit ribosomal RNA
Source: RNAcentral
UACGGGGGGGGGCAAGCGUUGUUCGGAAUUACUGGGCGUAAAGGGCUCGUAGGCGGCCAACUAAGUCAGACGUGAAAUCCCUCGGCUUAACCGGGGAACUGCGUCUGAUACUGGAUGGCUUGAGUUCGGGAGAGGGAUGCGGAAUUCCAGGUGUAGCGGUGAAAUGCGUAGAUAUCUGGAGGAACACCGGUGGCGAAGGCGGCAUCCUGGACCGACACUGACGCUGAGGAGCGAAAGCCAGGGGAGCAAACGGG